RNAcentral lists this ribosomal RNA (376 nucleotides) under uncultured Serratia sp. RNAcentral's name for it is "bacterial SSU rRNA". It matches the Rfam family "Bacterial small subunit ribosomal RNA", at positions 521 to 895 of the family's 1533-position model. The record is from RNAcentral. Lineage: Bacteria; Pseudomonadati; Pseudomonadota; Gammaproteobacteria; Enterobacterales; Yersiniaceae.
UAAUACGGAGGGUGCAAGCGUUAAUCGGAAUUACUGGGCGUAAAGCGCACGCAGGCGGUUUGUUAAGUCAGAUGUGAAAUCCCCGGGCUCAACCUGGGAACUGCAUUUGAAACUGGCAAGCUAGAGUCUCGUAGAGGGGGGUAGAAUUCCAGGUGUAGCGGUGAAAUGCGUAGAGAUCUGGAGGAAUACCGGUGGCGAAGGCGGCCCCCUGGACGAAGACUGACGCUCAGGUGCGAAAGCGUGGGGAGCAAACAGGAUUAGAUACCCCUGGUAGUCCACGCUGUAAACGAUGUCGAUUUGGAGGUUGUGCCCUUGAGGCGUGGCUUCCGGAGCUAACGCGUUAAAUCGACCGCCUGGGGAGUACGGCCGCAAGAUU